Molecule: non-coding RNA, 23 nt
Filed under: Mus musculus (house mouse)
Lineage: Eukaryota; Metazoa; Chordata; Mammalia; Rodentia; Muridae
Source: RNAcentral
UGAAAUGCAAGUGCUUCGGCCCC